AAAAUAUUAAGAACAUUCUAAACUUACACCUGGACUAUGAACUCCAAGAUGCAGUGAUGUUCCACCAACCUGUGACUCUGUCCCGUCCCAUAGCCUUCUCCCUUAGCAGACAUUCUGUCUCCAUCAAUAAUUUUCUAUCCUGUAUUUUUAUAGCUUUUUCUCCCCACCUUUAAAACAUGAAUGUUAUACAUAUGUAUAAACUCUUAAAACAUAAAUUCCUUGUUUUUAAUCUGAGAUACCAGUGAUUUAAUGGCAAGUUCACUACUAUACUUAAUACCAGGAUUGAUUAAAGAGCAAGCAAAUACACCAGCUUUAAAACUUUUUAUGUCCUAAAAUUAAAAAACAAAACAAAGCAACAACAAAAAUUAAAACAUCUCAUUUAUACAUAUAAUGUCAAUUAGUGGGAAAAGAGAAUAUGGAUUUGAAAGAGAGAAAGGAGGGGUUUAUGAGGAGUUUGGACGGAAGAAACACUAUAAAGGUUUUAGUUUUCAUAAGCUUGCUUGACAAAAUUACAUGUAUUAUAGAAUUUCAGUUAGUAACUGCAUAUUUUCAAUAUCUGAUUGCAAUUAUCUUCACUGAAGACAUGUUAAUGUCUGAUUAAGAUACAAAGGCAUCAUGGAUAGACUAAACUUCAUUUGGCCAUAACCUUUAUAUUGGUUGUGUUGUUGGAUCGUUUUAAACAUAAAAAUGUUAUACUGAACCUAUUUCCACAAAGAUUUUAUCUUUUCUUAAAACAAUAAAAUAGCAAUAGAAAUACUGUACUAGAGUCAAGUAUGUUAAGUCUCUUGGUAUGUUUUACCAUGUGAUAUUUCAGGUUAUCAGGAUUUGUUCACAAAACCAUGAGCAGUCAUAUAAAUUCUCAGUCCAUUGAGAGAUGAUAUGCACCCAAUGAUUUGAACCCAGAAUAUUUUAUUUUAUUUUAUUUUUUAUGGUUUUAGGGCUUUAUUGUUGAAAGGCAGGGAGGAAGAGAGAACAUAGAAAGAAAGAGAGAGGCUGGCCAUGGCCAUGUGUAGAGAAGGGGAAAGGGAGGGAAAGGAGAACUUGAGAUGAGAGUAAGAAAGGUGAGAGCUUAAAUGGAAUGAAAUAAUAGGCUCUUUAAAAUUAUUUUGUAUUGAAGAUAUGAAGCUAUUUUAUUUUUAUUUUGUGUCUUCUGCUAUUACUAACCAUAAAGUCAUGUUCGAGAUGAAAAUUGUUCUACAAUAUUCACUGUUUCUGUUAGUUUUGUUGACAUUUUCACUUCACAAAAUGUGAUUAUUGAAAUUUUCCUUCUUGAAGGCUGUCAUUUUAUAAAUCACUAUGCCUUUAUUUUGCACCUUUCUCAAACUCUACAAACACCAUUCACAUCUGGAUAUCAAAUCAGUAUUUUUAUUGUUUUUAAAUGCUUUACUCCUUGAUUCUUUGAUAGCAGGUAGUAAUAUUUAAUAUUUAGUAGUGCCAUGAAAAGGGUCCCAUCACUGUUGGGGGCAUUGUUAUAAGACAAACAUUACUUCACCCACAUGCUUCUUUAACCUCCUGCAGCAGCAGCAGCAGCAGGCACUACACCCUUAUGUUUCAAUCAGUCAUGAUGAAGAAAUAAGAGUCUGUCCAGCUGGCACACUGCUGGUAGAGAAGCACCAUGCUCAUCUCUGAACCAGCACACCAUGAUGCCUUUAUCAUGCAUGCUCAGUUCUAAGCCAUCUUGCUCUAUGUCACUGAGUGGUUUAAACUGCAACCUAAAGAACUGUAUAUUUUAAGAAAAUUAAAAUCUUCCCUAAGUGAAUGAAAUACACCAAGAGUGUAAAUUAAUAUGUAUUCUAAACUAUCUUUGUGGUCCAGCUGCUGGUUACCUGGCCUUCUUCCUUCCCGUAUCAUGGUUUUACAAAAGAUUUACUUAUCUUUAUUUAUGUGUACGAGUGCUUUGCCUGCAUGCAUGCACACCACAUGCAUGACUAGCGCAAACGGAGAUCAGAGUAUGUGAUCCCUUGGAAAUGCAGUUAGACAUAGUUGUGAGCAGUCUAUGUAUGAGUGCUAGGAACCAAUGCUGUGUCCCCUGCAAGAGCAGCAAAGGCUUUUAACCUCUUGACAUUUCAUUUUAAUGGAGUAUUUUAACAUAUUCUUUUAUUACAUUUGCAAUUUAUUCUAGCUAAUUUUAUCUAGUUUUUUCAUACAUAAGAGAAACAAUUCUUCAAUUAAAGUACUUGAUGGAAUUUUAAUUGACUAUAUGAUAUUUGUAAAUCACUUUGGGUAAAUUGGCACAAAUAUUUUCUCCAUUUUACAUGUUCAUAUUAUAAAAUCCUGGUUAAUAUAUGUGUGCCAAAUUUAUGCCAUGUGAAAGUGUAUAUCUCUGUGUGAAUAUGUAUUUGUGUGUGAGUGUGUGUGUAUAUAUUUGUGUGUGUGUGUGUGAGUGUGAAAGUGUGUUUGUAUCUGCAUGUGUUCCUUUUUAAAUACUUUGAUACACGAUCAACCCCAUUCUUCACCCCAUCUCUGAAGUGUUCGAGCCUGUGAAGGAGCCAGUCCAGCAGAUCCAAAGCUACAGGGUCUCCAUGACUCUGGGCAACAACAGGAUAUCCUAGAGGAGUUCCUCUGAGGAUCUAGUAUUCAUAGUGUAGCUGAAGCCAGAGGCUUCAAACCAGAACUAAUUGCAAUGAACAUUUGCAAGUGAAGAUGUGUAGACAAAAAAGUCUACUGUAACUCAAAACAGUGUCCAUGGUGAGAUGAGUUUUUGUUUUGUUUUUAUUUUACUUUCUAGCUACUUUUUUCAUGGUGUAGUUAAGAGAAAGUUGGGUGAAAGACAGGUUGCAAGGAGGAAUAUUUACAACCAGGUAUGAAUUUGCUGUACAUAUUUUGCUGUGCAUAUUUCUACUACCAUGUUUUCUAAUAUCAUAUAGUUCUCUUUCUUACUCAAAACAUUUAAUUGUAUGCUUGUCUGAAAUCCAUUAGCAAUCAAGACCCAUUUAUUUGAGACAAAAAAGAUCCAUGUGGUACAGCAACACCCAACAAAGUUCUACUUCUUUAUAAACAAAUAAUUAAAUUAAAAUGAACUUCACAGAAAGGCAUAGACUACAAAUUCUCCCAUAGUGCAAUGAGAUGGACAUUCCUUCUAUAGUCCUAGCUGUCAUAUGAAUUUCUCAAAUGUAACGACAUUCUAAUGGUCAUGGGAUUUUUGGAACAACUAUUCUUAGAACACCACAGUGACAUUCAGUUAC
RNAcentral lists this long non-coding RNA (3185 nucleotides) under Mus musculus (house mouse). RNAcentral's name for it is "long non-coding RNA chr15:40986557-40989742". The record is from RNAcentral. Lineage: Eukaryota; Metazoa; Chordata; Mammalia; Rodentia; Muridae.